Molecule: transfer RNA, 85 nt
Filed under: Candidatus Omnitrophota bacterium
Lineage: Bacteria; Pseudomonadati; Candidatus Omnitrophota
Description: tRNA-Tyr
Rfam family: tRNA
About the family: Transfer RNA (tRNA) molecules are approximately 80 nucleotides in length. Their secondary structure includes four short double-helical elements and three loops (D, anti-codon, and T loops).
Source: RNAcentral
GGGCAGGUACCAAAGUGGCCAACUGGGGCAGACUGUAAAUCUGCUGGCUUUGCCUUCCUAGGUUCGAAUCCUAGCCUGCCCACCA